This 73-nucleotide transfer RNA is filed under the name Firmicutes bacterium HGW-Firmicutes-3. RNAcentral describes it as "tRNA-Met". It matches the Rfam family "tRNA". Rfam says of the family: Transfer RNA (tRNA) molecules are approximately 80 nucleotides in length. Their secondary structure includes four short double-helical elements and three loops (D, anti-codon, and T loops). The record is from RNAcentral. Lineage: Bacteria; Bacillati; Bacillota.
GCUUCCAUGGCUCAGUUGGCAGAGCGAUUCACUCAUAAUGAACAGGCCACCUGUUCGAAGCCGAUUGGAAGCU